RNAcentral lists this unclassified non-coding RNA (1701 nucleotides) under Zea mays. RNAcentral's name for it is "misc RNA Zm00001eb366010". Lineage: Eukaryota; Viridiplantae; Streptophyta; Magnoliopsida; Poales; Poaceae. The record is from RNAcentral.
GUCGUGGCUGGUGUGCCGGCAAGGGCGAGCGUGCGCCCGUCCUCGGCGUCGCCACCUCGCCCCCGUCUGAGAUCGACGCCACCAUCCCCCGAGCUCGAGAUCCGCUCGCCCCAUGGUGCCUCAUGGCCUCCCUCGCUAAUCUCGCCGCGGCAUCCAUGGCGCCACGGGAUCCAUGGUGCUGCCCUCGCCCUCGACGCCCGUGUCGGCGUGCCCCCGCUUGUCCAAACCCGCGCCCCCUCCCUCGCGCUCCACCUCACCCAGCGUUCCCCUCCACCACGCCCCUAGCCCGCCGCGCGAUCCCCGCCGCUCCAUCCCUUGACUGCAGCGCGCUCCUCGACCCCGCCCGGCGAGUCUUCGUCAAUCUCGUCCAUUGCGCUUGUCGAGCCCAAGAACGCGCAAAUCCGCCAUUCCCGCGCCCUCGCCUGACACGCGCUCGCCACCGGCUUCGCAACCCCGCAUUGCCAUACCCCUGCCUCGCCUCCCCCAUCCCCACCCCACCUCACCGUGCGUUCAGCUCCCCCUCGCCCGCGCCCGCCUCCUCCCCCACCAAACGAUGUCCGCCCAUCCCCAUGACCCUACGCUGCCGGAUCGUUAUCAAGUUCCUUCGCAUGCUAGACCUGGCCGUCGCCGACCUCGCAGGUGCCCAAUGUGGUAUACAAGGGGAAGCUCGAUGCCCAGCGCCACAUCGUUGUCAAGCGCUUCAACCGCUCUGCAUACCCCUGCCCCGACCUCCCCAUCCCCACCCCACCUCACCGUGCGUUCAGCUCCCCCUCGCCCGCGCUCGCCUCCUCCCCCAACAAACGAUGUCCGCCCAUCCCCACGACCCUGCGCUGCCGGAUCGUUAUCAAGUUCCUUCGCAUGCUAGACCUGGCCAUCGCCGACCUCGCAGGUGCCCAAUGUGGUAUACAAGGGGAAGCUCGAUGCCCAGCGCCACAUCGUUGUCAAGCGCUUCAACCGUUUUGCCUGGCCCUGACCCGCACCAGUUCCUGGUAUUCCAUUCGCCUUCUUUUUACCCUUUCUAAUUAUGUGCAUCUUGUGGUGGGUGUAAUUGGUAGUUCAGAACCUGGUUGUUUAUUUUGAGUAUUGUAGAUACAAUGGCAGUUCAGAUUGAGCAUUGUCUGCCCUGUUUAAAUUAAUAAUGCCAAGCCUUGACAAGCUCGACGGUUGGAGCUUCGUCUGUUCCCCUCUUUCAAUGAAUUAGGUGGCCGUCUCCUAUGUUUUAUCUCAAAGAACACCACACAAGCUUAAAUUAUUUAGAACAGCACGUGCUGCUGGUAAUGGUGACCUUUUAUUUCUCAUAACUAAUCACCCGUUCUUAUAUUAUGUACCAUAAAUUAUUUCAUCUACUUAUCUAAAUAAAUGAUUUAGUAGUCAUAUAAUUCCUGGUAUUCCAUUCGCCUUCUCUUUUACCCUUUCUAAUUAUGUGCAUCUUGUGGGUGUAAUUGACAGUUCAGAACCUGGUUGUUUAUUUUGAGCAUUAUAGAUUCAUUAGCAGUUUGGAACAUUAUGUCUGGAAUUGGCUGUCCUGUUUAAAUUAAUAAUGCCAAGCCUUGACAAGCUUGAAAGUUGGAGCUUGGUCUAUUCCCCUCUUUCAAUGAACUAGGUGGUCGUCCCCUAAGUUUUAUCUGGAAGAACACCGCACAUGCUUAAAUUAUUUAGAAAAUCACGUGCUGCUGGUAAUUGUGACCAUUUAUUUUCCUG